RNAcentral lists this ribosomal RNA (483 nucleotides) under uncultured bacterium. RNAcentral describes it as "partial 16S ribosomal RNA". It matches the Rfam family "Bacterial small subunit ribosomal RNA", at positions 28 to 507 of the family's 1533-position model. The record is from RNAcentral.
GACGAACGCUGGCGGCGUGCUUAACACAUGCAAGUCGAACGCUGAAGCUCAGCUUUUGUUGGGUGGAUGAGUGGCGAACGGGUGAGUAACACGUGAGUAACCUGCCUCCUUCUUUGGGAUAACGCCCGGAAACGGGUGCUAAUACUGGAUAUUCACUGGUCUUCGCAUGGGGGUUGGUGGAAAGGGUUUUUCUGGUGGGGGAUGGGCUCGCGGCCUAUCAGCUUGUUUGUGGGGUGAUGGCCUACCCAGGCUUUGACGGGUAGCCUGCCUGAGAAGGUGACCGGGAACAUUGAGACUGAGAUGCGGCCCAGACUACGACGGGGGGCAGCAGAGGGGAAUAUGGCACAAUGGGCGCAAGACUGAUGCAGCGACGGCGCGGGAGGGAUGGAGGCCUUCGGGUUGUGAACCUCUUUCGCACAUGGUGAAGCCGAAACAAUGGGUGUGGUGAGGGUAGUGGGUAAAGAAGCGCCGGCUAACUACGUG